GAGUUUGAUUCUGGCUCAGGACGAACGCUGGCGGCGUGCUUAACACAUGCAAGUCGAACGGAGUCUAAAAAUUACCACUGAGCUCUUAGCUGGUGGCAGAGAAGCGUCAUGGACACGAAGUGGCCAUCACGCGUUAAAAAAGUGCCGACACAGGGCUGAGGCCUGAGUGGUGAUUUUUAGACUGAGUGGCAAACGGGUGAGUAACACGUAGGCAACCUGCCGACAGGAUGGGGACAACAUUCCGAAAGGAAUGCUAAUACCGAAUGAAGUCCGAGAGGGGCAUCCCUCUUGGAUGAAAGAUGGCCUCUGAACAUGCUAUCACCUGUCGAUGGGCCUGCGUCUGAUUAGCCAGUUGGCGGGGUAACGGCCCACCAAAGCGACGAUCAGUAGCCGGUCUGAGAGGAUGAACGGCCACAUUGGGACUGAGACACGGCCCAGACUCCUACGGGAGGCAGCAGUGGGGAAUCUUCCACAAUGGGCGAAAGCCUGAUGGAGCAACGCCGCGUGAGUGAAGAAGGUCUUCGGAUCGUAAAGCUCUGUUGCAGGGGACGAAAACCGGGUUUG
RNAcentral lists this ribosomal RNA (564 nucleotides) under Selenomonas sp. oral taxon F86. Its description in RNAcentral is "bacterial SSU rRNA". It matches the Rfam family "Bacterial small subunit ribosomal RNA", at positions 9 to 460 of the family's 1533-position model. Lineage: Bacteria; Bacillati; Bacillota; Negativicutes; Selenomonadales; Selenomonadaceae. The record is from RNAcentral.